Molecule: long non-coding RNA, 351 nt
Organism: Notothenia coriiceps (black rockcod)
Lineage: Eukaryota; Metazoa; Chordata; Actinopteri; Perciformes; Nototheniidae
Exons: 4
Source: RefSeq, a predicted model, not a curated record
AGCAGCGUCCUCCUCACUCAGCUCCUGCCGGAUGUCUCUCCACUGCUUCAUGUUGUGAUAGAAAUAGUCGUCGCAAGCCAAAAAUGGUGAAGCAAUAGCAUGACACACAUUGUCAAGCAUGGCUGAUAGAAAGGGAAAACCUGUCACUCCGAUCAAAACACUCUCAAAGAAAGACCAAAAGGAGCUCAAGAAAAAGGAGGAAGAAAAAGCAGCAGAGGUUUUUGAAGAAUUCUUGGCUUCGUUUGAAAGCAACAAGAAAGGUGGAGGGAAAACGUUUGUCCAUGGAGGAAUCGUGAAUGCAACUAAAGAGGAGAAGGGCAACCGCAGGCAAGAAAAGUGAAGCUUUUAUCG